Molecule: ribosomal RNA, 320 nt
Filed under: uncultured bacterium
Lineage: Bacteria
Description: bacterial SSU rRNA
Rfam family: Bacterial small subunit ribosomal RNA
Source: RNAcentral
AAUCAACGCUGGCGGCGUGCCUCAGACAUGCAAGUCGAACGAUUAAGACUCUCUUCGGAGAGUGUAUAAAGUGGCGCACGGGUGAGUAACACGUAGGUAAUGUACCGAAGGGUGGGAAUAACUUAGGGAAACUUAAGCUAAUACCGCAUAAUGCAGCGGCUCGACAUCGAGACAGUUGUUAAAGGAGCAAUCCGCCUUUUGAGCAGCCUGCGGCAGAUUAGCUAGUUGGUAAGGUAAUGGCUUACCAAGGCUACGAUCUGUAACCGAACCUGAGAGGGUGGGUCGGUCACACUGACACUGAAUAAACGGGUCGAGACUCC